AAUAAGCGCAACCAUGAGUUUCCGUGUCCAAUUUUUAUCUUCCGUCUUAUUUGAAAUUUUUUUAUGAUUAGUAUUUUUAUUGUUAUUAGAUUAUAAAACAUGAAUACAUAUGUUUUUGCAUUUUUUUAAAAAAAUAUUAAAUAAGACGAACGAUUAAAGUUGGACACGGAAACUCAUGACUGCGAUUAUU
Molecule: microRNA precursor, 190 nt
Organism: Oryza sativa Japonica Group (Japanese rice)
Lineage: Eukaryota; Viridiplantae; Streptophyta; Magnoliopsida; Poales; Poaceae
Rfam family: MIR812 microRNA precursor family
Source: Rfam